CCGAGGUGGUGAAAUUGGUAAACGCACCAGACUCAAAAUCUGGCGGGAGCAAUCCCGUGGGGGUUCGAUUCCCCCUAAUGAG
Molecule: transfer RNA, 82 nt
Filed under: uncultured delta proteobacterium HF4000_08N17
Lineage: Bacteria; Deltaproteobacteria
Description: tRNA-Leu
Rfam family: tRNA (bases 7-75)
About the family: Transfer RNA (tRNA) molecules are approximately 80 nucleotides in length. Their secondary structure includes four short double-helical elements and three loops (D, anti-codon, and T loops).
Source: RNAcentral